RNAcentral lists this ribosomal RNA (464 nucleotides) under uncultured Pelotomaculum sp. RNAcentral describes it as "bacterial SSU rRNA". It matches the Rfam family "Bacterial small subunit ribosomal RNA", at positions 920 to 1382 of the family's 1533-position model. The record is from RNAcentral. Lineage: Bacteria; Bacillati; Bacillota; Clostridia; Eubacteriales; Desulfotomaculaceae.
CCCGCACAAGCGGUGGAGCAUUGUGGUUUAAUUCGAAGCAACGCGAAGAACCUUACCAGGUCUUGACAUCCCGAUGCUAUUUCUAGAGAUAGAAAGUUACUUCGGUACAUCGGUGACAGGUGGUGCAUGGUUGUCGUCAGCUCGUGUCGUGAGAUGUUGGGUUAAGUCCCGCAACGAGCGCAACCCCUACGUUUAGUUGCUAACGCGUGAAGGCGAGCACUCUAGACGAACUGCCGUUGACAAAACGGAGGAAGGUGGGGAUGACGUCAAAUCAUCAUGCCCCUUAUGUUCUGGGCUACACACGUGCUACAAUGGCCGGUACAGACGGACGCAAAGCCGCGAGGUGGAGCAAAUCCUAAAAAGCCGGUCUCAGUUCGGAUUGCAGGCUGCAAUUCGCCUGCAUGAAGUCGGAAUCGCUAGUAAUCGCAGGUCAGCAUACUGCGGUGAAUACGUUCCCGGGCCUU